This 394-nucleotide ribosomal RNA is filed under the name uncultured bacterium. RNAcentral describes it as "bacterial SSU rRNA". It matches the Rfam family "Bacterial small subunit ribosomal RNA", at positions 29 to 410 of the family's 1533-position model. The record is from RNAcentral.
AACGAACGCUGGCGGCGCGCCUAAUACAUGCAAGUCGAGCGAGAAGACGUAGCAAUACGUUUGUAAAGCGGCGAACGGGUGAGGAAUACAUGGGUAACCUACCCUCGAGUGGGGAAUAACUAGCCGAAAGGUUGGCUAAUACCGCGUACGCUCCUUGGACUUCGGUUCAGGGAGGAAAGCGAUACCGUGGGUAUCGCGCUCUUGGAUGGGCUCAUGUCCUAUCAGCUUGUUGGUGAGGUAACGGCUCACCAAGGCUUCGACGGGUAGCUGGUCUGAGAGGACGAUCAGCCACACUGGCACUGCGACACGGGCCAGACUCCUACGGGGAGGCAGCAGUAAGGAAUAUUGCGCAAGUGGGCGAAAGCCUGACGCAGCGACCGCCGCGGUGGGGGAG